GCCACGAGUUUGAGUUGCAUGCGGUUGACGGCGAGCGAAACGACGAAUAAUAACGGUAAAGAUGUAGUACUUUUUGGAUUUCGCAGCCGGUCGAACACGAAAAUCGGCGCCGUUGUCGCGCCGUGUAAAAAAUGUGAGCGAAAACAGCUAAAUAAAUUUGUAAAAAAUAUAGAAAAUACAAAUCGCGCCGCCCAACCGAAUAUCUGCAAUUGAAUUUCAAUGCAAGUGCUUGCCAUCUGAAAUAUAGUCAUUUCAAAGAAGUGAGUGUGUGUGCAAUCCAUGUUUUUUCUGUGUGCAAAGUUCAAAGGCAAAAGCAAAAAGAAAAGGCAAUAGCAAGUAGCAAAAGCAAAGGCAAAAGCAAAAUCAAAUCUAAAUCAAUGUAAUCUAAAUCAAAUGUUAUUUGAAAACCCAACAUUAUGAUUAAAUUCGCCUCAAAUACAAGCAAUAAUAAAUAAUAUAAAUAAAUACCGAAAGUAAAAAGUUCAACAUCUAGUAAAGAAAGCAAACAAACCUUAAAAACACUUGCAUUAACGAAAUCGUAGCCAUUAGCUUUAACAAAAUCGCGUAAAAAUUUUGAGCAGAACUUAGCAAGCCUAUAAAAGUACGCCUUCCAAUAGUUAUUAUAUAUACACGCAUUAUAUACAUAUGCAUAUACACAGCCAUAGCACUUACAUACAUAUAUACAUAUACAACAUCGGUCGAAGGGAAUUAUAAAAAAACCCACACGGGAAGCGAAUGAACGAUACGGAAUCGUGGAAAAAGUGCGUUAUAUGCUAACGGUGCAAUCAAAUCUUAAUGUAGCCAAGCGAUACUAACAUAUAUAGCACAUAAUAUAUACAUAUAUAUAUAUAUAUAUUUCUUACAUCCAUCAAGUAAAUCAAUUUUUACAAUCCGCAAACUUAAGCAGCUUCAAAAUCAACCAACGCAAUUACUUUAAGAGAUUUACUUUAUCGGUAAAUGGACAAACAUA
Molecule: small RNA, 970 nt
Filed under: Drosophila erecta
Lineage: Eukaryota; Metazoa; Arthropoda; Insecta; Diptera; Drosophilidae
Description: GG27124
Source: RNAcentral